RNAcentral lists this unclassified non-coding RNA (186 nucleotides) under uncultured Saccharomycetales. Its description in RNAcentral is "sequence contains ITS2". Lineage: Eukaryota; Fungi; Ascomycota; Saccharomycetes. The record is from RNAcentral.
CUCUCUCAAACCUUUGGGUUUGGUAUUGAGUGAUACUCUUAGUCAGACUAAGCGUUUGCUUGAAAAGUAUUGGCAAGGGUGUGCUGGAUAGUACGUCAAAUUAUUCAAUGUAUUAGGUUUAUCCAACUCGUUGAACGAUCUGGUGUAAAUUUCUGGUUACUGGCUCGGCCUUACAACAACAAACAA